Ribosomal RNA from Oryza sativa (Asian cultivated rice), 154 nucleotides. NCBI's taxonomy places the organism in Eukaryota, Viridiplantae, Streptophyta, Magnoliopsida, Poales, Poaceae. The record is from Rfam.
GGAUGCGAUCAUACCAGCACUAAAGCACCGGAUCCCAUCAGAACUCCGAAGUUAAGCGUGCUUGGGCGAGAGUAGUACUAGGUGAGUUAAGCGUGCUUGGACGAGAGUAGUACUAGGAUGGGUGACCUCCUGGGAAGUCCUCGUUUUGCAUCCC